AGACUGAGAUCUGAUGACGAGGCUCAUUUAUGAGCUGAAGUGGUUGAUGCCAUGCUUCCAAGAAAAGCUUCUAAGCUUCAGGCAUGUAGAGACCGUACUCCAAACCGACACAGGUGGACAGGUAGAGAAUACCAAGGCGCUUGAGAGAACUUGGGUGAAGGAACUAGGCAAAAUGGCACCGUAACUUCGGGAGAAGGUGCGCCGGUGACGGUGAUGGACCUUGCGUCCUAAGCUGUUGCCGGUCGAAGUAACCAGGCCGCUGCGACUGUUUAUUAAAAACACAGCACUCUGCAAACUCGUAAGAGGACGUAUAGGGUGUGACGCCUGCCCGGUGCCGGAAGGUUAAUUGAUGGGGUUAGCGUAUGCGAAGCUCUUGAUCGAAGCCCCGGUAAACGGCGGCCGUAACUAUAACGGUCCUAAGGUAGCGAAAUUCCUUGUCGGGUAAGUUCCGACCUGCACGAAUGGCGUAACGAUGGCCACACUGUCUCCUCCAGAGACUCAGCGAAGUUGAAAUGUUUGUGAUGAUGCAAUCUCCCCGCGGAAAGACGGAAAGACCCCAUGAACCUUUACUGUAGCUUUGUAUUGGACUUUGAACAGAUCUGUGUAGGAUAGGUGGGAGGCUUUGAAGCUAGGACGCUAGUUCUAGUGGAGCCAACGUUGAAAUACCACCCUGGUGUGUUUGAGGUUCUAACCUAGGUCCCUAAUCGGGAUCGGGGACCGUGCAUGGUAGGCAGUUUGACUGGGGCGGUCUCCUCCCAAAGUGUAACGGAGGAGUUCGAAGGUACGCUAGUUACGGUCGGACAUCGUGACGAUAGUGCAAUGGCAUAAGCGUGCUUAACUGCGAGACUGACAAGUCGAGCAGGUGCGAAAGCAGGACAUAGUGAUCCGGUGGUUCUGUAUGGAAGGGCCAUCGCUCAACGGAUAAAAGGUACUCUGGGGAUAACAGGCUGAUACCGCCCAAGAGUUCAUAUCGACGGCGGUGUUUGGCACCUCGAUGUCGGCUCAUCUCAUCCUGGGGCUGUAGCCGGUCCCAAGGGUAUGGCUGUUCGCCAUUUAAAGAGGUACGUGAGCUGGGUUUAAAACGUCGUGAGACAGUUUGGUCCCUAUCUUCCGUGGGCGCUGCAGAUUUGAAGAAGCCUGCUCCUAGUACGAGAGGACCGGAGUGGACGCACCUCUGGUGUAUCGGUUGUCACGCCAGUGGCAUUGCCGAGUAGCUAAGUGCGGAAGAGAUAACCGCUGAAAGCAUCUAAGCGGGAAACUCGUUCUAAGAUGAGAUCUGCCGGGGCCUUGAGCCCCCUAAAGAGUCGUUCAAGACCAGGACGUUGAUAGGCUGGGUGUGGAAGCGCAGUAAUGCGUUAAGCUAACCAGUACUAAUUGCUCGUGAGGCUUGACC
RNAcentral lists this ribosomal RNA (1393 nucleotides) under marine metagenome. RNAcentral describes it as "bacterial LSU rRNA". It matches the Rfam family "Bacterial large subunit ribosomal RNA", at positions 1553 to 2925 of the family's 2925-position model. The record is from RNAcentral.